RNAcentral lists this ribosomal RNA (338 nucleotides) under Gephyromantis luteus. Its description in RNAcentral is "partial 16S ribosomal RNA". It matches the Rfam family "Bacterial large subunit ribosomal RNA", at positions 2020 to 2526 of the family's 2925-position model. Lineage: Eukaryota; Metazoa; Chordata; Amphibia; Anura; Mantellidae. The record is from RNAcentral.
CUCCUUUCUCUAAUCAGUGAAACUAAUCUCCCCGUGAAGAAGCGGGAAUAAAACUAUAAGACGAGAAGACCCCAUGGAGCUUUAAACCUAGUUACACUCCGAACCUUUACACCCAAUUAUUAGCCGAACCCUGUAAACUAGACUUUAGGUUGGGGUGACCGCGGAGUAAAACAAAACCUCCGCAAUGAACGAAACUACUAUCUUAUCUAAGAGUUACUCCUCUAAGAAUUAGCAUUCUAACAUAAAUGAUCCAAUUAUUGAUCAACGGACCAAGUUACCCUGGGGAUAACAGCGCAAUCCACUUCAAGAGCUCCUAUCGACAGGUGGGUUUACGACCU